GUUCUCUCCGUUUUUUCUGUCUGCUAUAUUUUAUGGAAAGGUUUUUGACUCUUUGUUUGGCCUGAUCCCACCACUCUAGCAGGUUGUCAGUGUGAUCCAUUUCCCCACUCAGGGUCUGCAGCAGGAUGCCAAUCUCACCUCUGAAGGAAUGGUCACUCCAGACGUUGUCCCGGAUGAGACAGGAUGACACCUCGGGGACAAGAGAAGACGAGAUCAGGCACAAGUCGAGUCGUGAUUGUUUCAGUUUUCCUAAAAUGACCUGUUUUCUGGUAAAUUGUUUUUUACCUGGGU
This is a long non-coding RNA of Xiphophorus hellerii (green swordtail), 291 nucleotides long. RefSeq lists it as uncharacterized. The record is from RefSeq and is a predicted model, not a curated record. Lineage: Eukaryota; Metazoa; Chordata; Actinopteri; Cyprinodontiformes; Poeciliidae. The transcript is spliced from 2 exons.